AGCCCUGUGGUGAGAGCACAUCAGAUUGCAAAUCUGAAGACGUAGAUUAAUACUCUGCCGGGGCUU
RNAcentral lists this transfer RNA (66 nucleotides) under Poropuntius scapanognathus. RNAcentral's name for it is "tRNA-Cys". It matches the Rfam family "tRNA". Rfam says of the family: Transfer RNA (tRNA) molecules are approximately 80 nucleotides in length. Lineage: Eukaryota; Metazoa; Chordata; Actinopteri; Cypriniformes; Cyprinidae. The record is from RNAcentral.